This 419-nucleotide ribosomal RNA is filed under the name bacterium. Its description in RNAcentral is "partial 16S ribosomal RNA". It matches the Rfam family "Bacterial small subunit ribosomal RNA", at positions 355 to 776 of the family's 1533-position model. The record is from RNAcentral.
UGGGGGAUAUUGCACAAUGGGCGAAAGCCUGAUGCAGCGACGCCGCGUGGGGGAUGAAGGCCUUCGGGUUGUAAACUUCUUUUGCUCUGAACAAGGCGCACCAUGGGGUGUGUUGAGUGUAGGGGUUGAUUAGCGCCGGCUAACUACGUGCCAGCAGCCGCGGUAAUACGUAGGGCGAGAGCGUUGUCCGGAAUUAUUGGGCGUAAAGGGCUUGUAGGUGGCUGGUUGCGUCUGUCGUGAAAGCUCAUGGCUUAACUGUGGGUUUGCGGUGGGUACGGGCUGGCUUGAGUGCAGUAGGGGAGGCUGGAAUUCCUGGUGUAGCGGUGGAAUGCGCAGAUAUCAGGAGGAAUACCGGUGGCGAAGGCGGGUCUCUGGGCUGUUACUGACACUGAGGAGCGAAAGCAUGGGGAGCGAACAGG